GGUGCGAGCGUUGUCCGGAAUUAUUGGGCGGAAAGAGCUCGUAGGCGGUGUGUCGCGUCGGCCGUGAAAACCUGCAGCUUAACUGUGGGCUUGCGGUCGAUACGGGCAUCACUGGAGUUCGGCAGGGGAGACUGGAAUUCCUGGUGUAGCGGUGAAAUGCGCAGAUAUCAGGAGGAACACCGGUGGCGAAGUCGGGUCUCUGGGCCGAUACUGACGCUGAGGAGCGAAAUCGUGGGGAGCGAACAGG
Molecule: ribosomal RNA, 247 nt
Filed under: uncultured bacterium
Lineage: Bacteria
Description: partial 16S ribosomal RNA
Rfam family: Bacterial small subunit ribosomal RNA
Source: RNAcentral